UUUAUACUCCCUUCGUCCAAAAAAACCUGUCCCAACCUUGUCCCUCAAAUAGAUGUAUCUAGCACUAACUUGGUGCUAGAUACACCAUUUGAUAGACAAACUUUUUCGGACGGAGGGAGUAUGAA
Triticum aestivum (bread wheat) is the source of this 125-nucleotide non-coding RNA. The record is from Rfam. NCBI's taxonomy places the organism in Eukaryota, Viridiplantae, Streptophyta, Magnoliopsida, Poales, Poaceae.